Molecule: ribosomal RNA, 2757 nt
Filed under: Salmonella enterica subsp. enterica serovar Enteritidis
Lineage: Bacteria; Pseudomonadati; Pseudomonadota; Gammaproteobacteria; Enterobacterales; Enterobacteriaceae
Description: partial 23S ribosomal RNA
Rfam family: Bacterial large subunit ribosomal RNA
Source: RNAcentral
AAUCCAUAGGUUAAUGAGGCGAACCGGGGGAACUGAAACAUCUAAGUACCCCGAGGAAAAGAAAUCAACCGAGAUUCCCCCAGUAGCGGCGAGCGAACGGGGAGGAGCCCAGAGCCUGAAUCAGCAUGUGUGUUAGUGGAAGCGUCUGGAAAGGCGCGCGAUACAGGGUGACAGCCCCGUACACAAAAGCGCAUGUGCUGUGAGCUCGAUGAGUAGGGCGGGACACGUGGUAUCCUGUCUGAAUAUGGGGGGACCAUCCUCCAAGGCUAAAUACUCCUGACUGACCGAUAGUGAACCAGUACCGUGAGGGAAAGGCGAAAAGAACCCCGGCGAGGGGAGUGAAAAAGAACCUGAAACCGUGUACGUACAAGCAGUGGGAGCACCCUUUGGGUGUGACUGCGUACCUUUUGUAUAAUGGGUCAGCGACUUAUAUUCUGUAGCAAGGUUAACCGAAUAGGGGAGCCGGAGGGAAACCGAGUCUUAACCGGGCGUUAAGUUGCAGGGUAUAGACCCGAAACCCGGUGAUCUAGCCAUGGGCAGGUUGAAGGUUGGGUAACACUAACUGGAGGACCGAACCGACUAAUGUUGAAAAAUUAGCGGAUGACCUGUGGCUGGGGGUGAAAGGCCAAUCAAACCGGGAGAUAGCUGGUUCUCCCCGAAAGCUAUUUAGGUAGCGCCUCGUGAAUUCAUCUCCGGGGGUAGAGCACUGUUUCGGCUAGGGGGCCAUCCCGGCUUACCAACCCGAUGCAAACUGCGAAUACCGGAGAAUGUUAUCACGGGAGACACACGGCGGGUGCUAACGUCCGUCGUGAAGAGGGAAACAACCCAGACCGCCAGCUAAGGUCCCAAAGUCAUGGUUAAGUGGGAAACGAUGUGGGAAGGCCCAGACAGCCAGGAUGUUGGCUUAGAAGCAGCCAUCAUUUAAAGAAAGCGUAAUAGCUCACUGGUCGAGUCGGCCUGCGCGGAAGAUGUAACGGGGCUAAACCAUGCACCGAAGCUGCGGCAGCGACACUGUGUGUUGUUGGGUAGGGGAGCGUUCUGUAAGCCUGUGAAGGUGUGUCGUGAGGCAUGCUGGAGGUAUCAGAAGUGCGAAUGCUGACAUAAGUAACGAUAAAGCGGGUGAAAAGCCCGCUCGCCGGAAGACCAAGGGUUCCUGUCCAACGUUAAUCGGGGCAGGGUGAGUCGACCCCUAAGGCGAGGCCGAAAGGCGUAGUCGAUGGGAAACGGGUUAAUAUUCCCGUACUUGGUGUUACUGCGAAGGGGGGACGGAGAAGGCUAUGUUGGCCGGGCGACGGUUGUCCCGGUUUAAGCGUGUAGGUGUGUGUUCCAGGUAAAUCCGGUUCACUUUAACACUGAGGCGUGACGACGAGGCACUACGGUGCUGAAGCAACAAAUGCCCUGCUUCCAGGAAAAGCCUCUAAGCAUCAGGUAACAUCAAAUCGUACCCCAAACCGACACAGGUGGUCAGGUAGAGAAUACCAAGGCGCUUGAGAGAACUCGGGUGAAGGAACUAGGCAAAAUGGUGCCGUAACUUCGGGAGAAGGCACGCUGACACGUAGGUGAAGUGAUUUACUCAUGGAGCUGAAGUCAGUCGAAGAUACCAGCUGGCUGCAACUGUUUAUUAAAAACACAGCACUGUGCAAACACGAAAGUGGACGUAUACGGUGUGACGCCUGCCCGGUGCCGGAAGGUUAAUUGAUGGGGUCAGCGCAAGCGAAGCUCCUGAUCGAAGCCCCGGUAAACGGCGGCCGUAACUAUAACGGUCCUAAGGUAGCGAAAUUCCUUGUCGGGUAAGUUCCGACCUGCACGAAUGGCGUAAUGAUGGCCAGGCUGUCUCCACCCGAGACUCAGUGAAAUUGAACUCGCUGUGAAGAUGCAGUGUACCCGCGGCAAGACGGAAAGACCCCGUGAACCUUUACUAUAGCUUGACACUGAACAUUGAGCCUUGAUGUGUAGGAUAGGUGGGAGGCUUUGAAGUGUGGACGCCAGUCUGCAUGGAGCCGACCUUGAAAUACCACCCUUUAAUGUUUGAUGUUCUAACGUGGACCCGUUACCCGGGUUGCGGACAGUGUCUGGUGGGUAGUUUGACUGGGGCGGUCUCCUCCUAAAGAGUAACGGAGGAGCACGAAGGUUGGCUAAUCCUGGUCGGACAUCAGGAGGUUAGUGCAAUGGCAUAAGCCAGCUUGACUGCGAGCGUGACGGCGCGAGCAGGUGCGAAAGCAGGUCAUAGUGAUCCGGUGGUUCUGAAUGGAAGGGCCAUCGCUCAACGGAUAAAAGGUACUCCGGGGAUAACAGGCUGAUACCGCCCAAGAGUUCAUAUCGACGGCGGUGUUUGGCACCUCGAUGUCGGCUCAUCACAUCCUGGGGCUGAAGUAGGUCCCAAGGGUAUGGCUGUUCGCCAUUUAAAGUGGUACGCGAGCUGGGUUUAGAACGUCGUGAGACAGUUCGGUCCCUAUCUGCCGUGGGCGCUGGAGAACUGAGGGGGGCUGCUCCUAGUACGAGAGGACCGGAGUGGACGCAUCACUGGUGUUCGGGUUGUCAUGCCAAUGGCACUGCCCGGUAGCUAAAUGCGGAAGAGAUAAGUGCUGAAAGCAUCUAAGCACGAAACUUGCCCCGAGAUGAGUUCUCCCUGAGACUUAAAGUCUCCUGAAGGAACGUUGAAGACGACGACGUUGAUAGGCCGGGUGUGUAAGCGCAGCGAUGCGUUGAGCUAACCGGUACUAAUGAACCGUGAGGCUUAACCUUACAACGCCGAAG